RNAcentral lists this ribosomal RNA (1062 nucleotides) under Triticum aestivum (bread wheat). RNAcentral's name for it is "partial small subunit ribosomal RNA". Lineage: Eukaryota; Viridiplantae; Streptophyta; Magnoliopsida; Poales; Poaceae. The record is from RNAcentral.
AUGAAUAUUGCUCGCCUAUCCCGCUGGCUUUGGCGCAUCUCGCAAGGGCACGGUAGCCUCUGGUUAGACAUCAUCCGGAAUAAGUACCUGCGUGGUCAACCCCUUGCCUUCUGCCAGCGCUCUGGCGACUCCCAAUUCUUGCAGUCGGUUGUCCAACUUCUCCCAGUCCUCCGCAUCAGGACCUCCAUCUCGGUUGGAUCUGGGGCUGCUACGAUGUUCUGGUUUGACCGGUGGGCCGGCGACUCCCCCUUCGCGGCUCGCUUCCCCGACCUUUUCUCCAUCGCUGUUGAACCCACGAUCUCAGUUGAGAGGGCCCUUAUUGACUUAGGGCGCCUCGUGUUCCGUAGGCCAUUUGGGCCUCCGGAUCCCGCCGCCUGGCAGGAUUUGCUUGAUUGUGUGGCUCUCCAUGAGCCGAGGGUGGACGUUGGCCCGGAUCAAGUAAGAUGGCGCCUUGAGCCUUCGCGCCAAUUCUCCACCAAGUCCUUAUACCAGGCCAUCGCCCCCUCCCCGCUCCCCCCCCCACUUAUGGUGGUGUGGUCCAUUCGCCUUUCACUGAAGAUUCAGAUCUUCAUGUUGCAAUGGAUUCACGGUCGGACCCCGUCUGGGGUCGAGGUCCUCAAACGCAAUGGCCCGGGCUCUAGCUUAUGCCUCCUGUGUGGUGUCCUCGAAGACUCGAAUCACAUCUACUUCUCCUGUGUGUCAGCUCAAUUUGUCUGGAGCUGCUUUAGGGAGGUGGUGCGUGGGAAUUGGUGCCAUACCAACUUCUCCCACCUAUUCACCGAACUCCAUAACUCCCCCUUGUCCUCGCGCCACAUUAGGUGGCUUGAGAUUGGGGCGAUCGCUUGGACCUUCUGGACGAUUCGCAACAAGCUUGUGAUUCAGCGUACUCCUCUUCGGCGGGCUACUGACGCUCUUUUCAAACUGUCUGGUUACUUGCAGCUUUGGCGGCCGCUUAGCCGCCCUCACGAUCGGGACGCCAUCUCCGCCUUCAUCGCCGACCUUCGCUCUAUGGCCGUCCGUCUGUCGCCGCCGCCACCGCCACCACCCCCAGAGCCUGACUAG